CCUACGGGUGGCAGCAGUAGGGAAUCUUCCACAAUGGGCGAAAGCCUGAUGGAGCAACGCCGCGUGGGUGAAGAAGGUCUUCGGAUCGUAAAACCCUGUUGUUAGAGAAGAAAGUGCGUGAGAGUAACUGUUCACGUUUCGACGGUAUCUAACCAGACAGCCACGGCUAACUACGUGCCAGCAGCCGCGGUAAUACGUAGGUGACAAGCGUUAUCCGGAUUUAUUGGGCGUAAAGGGAACGCAGGCGGUCUUUUAAGUCUGAUGUGAAAGCCUUCGGCUUAACCGGAGUAGUGCAUUGGAAACUGGGAGACUUGAGUGCAGAAGAGGUGAGUGGAACUCCAGGUGUAGCGGUGAAAUGCGUAGAGAUAAGGAAGAACACGAGUGGCGAAAGCGGCUCUCUGGACUGUAACUGACGCUGAGGUUCGAAAGCGUGGGUAGCAAACAGGAUUAGAUACCCUAGUAGUC
This 465-nucleotide ribosomal RNA is filed under the name uncultured bacterium. Its description in RNAcentral is "partial 16S ribosomal RNA". It matches the Rfam family "Bacterial small subunit ribosomal RNA", at positions 338 to 795 of the family's 1533-position model. The record is from RNAcentral.